GACGAACGCUGGCGGCGUGCUUAACACAUGCAAGUCGAACGGUAAGGCCCUUCGGGGUACACGAGUGGCGAACGGGUGAGUAACACGUGGGUGAUCUGCCCUGCACUUCGGGAUAAGCCUGGGAAACUGGGUCUAAUACCGGAUAGGACCCUGGGAUGCAUGUCCUGGGGUGGAAAGCUUUUGCGGUGUGGGAUGGGCCCGCGGCCUAUCAGCUUGUUGGUGGGGUGAUGGCCUACCAAGGCGACGACGGGUAGCCGGCCUGAGAGGGUGACCGGCCACACUGGGACUGGGAUAAGGCCCAGACUCCUACGGGAGGCAGCAGUGGGGAAUAUUGCACAAUGGGCGCAAGCCUGAUGCAGCGACGCCGCGUGAGGGAUGACGGCCUUCGGGUUGUAAGCCUCUUUCAGCACCGACGAAGCGCAAGUGACGGUAGGUGCAGAAGAAGGACCGGCCAACUACGUGCCAGCAGCCGCCGUAA
Molecule: ribosomal RNA, 478 nt
Filed under: uncultured bacterium
Lineage: Bacteria
Description: partial 16S ribosomal RNA
Rfam family: Bacterial small subunit ribosomal RNA
Source: RNAcentral